RNAcentral lists this transfer RNA (83 nucleotides) under Candidatus Altarchaeales archaeon. RNAcentral describes it as "Candidatus Altiarchaeales archaeon tRNA-Leu". It matches the Rfam family "tRNA". From Rfam's summary of the family: Transfer RNA (tRNA) molecules are approximately 80 nucleotides in length. Their secondary structure includes four short double-helical elements and three loops (D, anti-codon, and T loops). Lineage: Archaea; Nanobdellati; Candidatus Altarchaeota; Candidatus Altarchaeia; Candidatus Altarchaeales. The record is from RNAcentral.
GCGGGGGUGCCCGAGAGGCCAAAGGGGCAGGACUUAAGAUCCUGUGGUGUAGACCUUCGUGGGUUCAAAUCCCUCCCCCCGCA